Molecule: ribosomal RNA, 253 nt
Filed under: uncultured bacterium
Lineage: Bacteria
Description: partial 16S ribosomal RNA
Rfam family: Bacterial small subunit ribosomal RNA
Source: RNAcentral
UACAGAGGUGGCAAGCGUUGUUCGGAAUUACUGGGCGUAAAGGGCGCGUAGGCGGCCUUCUAAGUCAGACGUGAAAUCCCCCGGCUUAACCUGGGAACUGCGUCUGAUACUGGGAGGCUUGAGUAUGGGAGAGGGAUGUAGAAUUCCAGGUGUAGCGGUGAAAUGCGUAGAUAUCUGGAGGAACACCGGUGGCGAAGGCGGCUUCCUGGACCGACACUGACGCUGAGGCGCGAAAGCGAGGGGAGCAAACGGG